Molecule: transfer RNA, 72 nt
Filed under: Calyptraea chinensis
Lineage: Eukaryota; Metazoa; Mollusca; Gastropoda; Littorinimorpha; Calyptraeidae
Description: tRNA-Arg
Source: RNAcentral
AUAUGGAAAGCGAAUAAUGUUGCAUAUGGUUUCGGCCCAUAUUUUAGGGGUAAUUAAAUCCUCUUCCAUAUA